This 253-nucleotide ribosomal RNA is filed under the name uncultured bacterium. RNAcentral describes it as "partial 16S ribosomal RNA". It matches the Rfam family "Bacterial small subunit ribosomal RNA", at positions 524 to 776 of the family's 1533-position model. The record is from RNAcentral.
UACGUAGGGGGCAAGCGUUGUCCGGAUUUAUUGGGCGUAAAGAGCGUGUAGGCGGUCAGGUAGGUCCGUUGUGAAAACUCGAGGCUUAACCUCGAGCUGUCGGCGGAAACCAUCUGGCUAGAGUCCGGAAGAGGAGAAUGGAAUUCCCGGUGUAGCGGUGAAAUGCGCAGAUAUCGGGAAGAACACCCGUGGCGAAGGCGGUUCUCUGGGACGGUACUGACGCUGAGACGCGAAAGCGUGGGGAGCGAACAGG